CCUACGGGUGGCAGCAGUGGGGAAUAUUGCACAAUGGGGGAAACCCUGAUGCAGCGACGCCGCGUGAGUGAAGAAGUAUUUCGGUAUGUAAAGCUCUAUCAGCAGGGAAGAAAAUGACGGUACGUGACUAAGAAGCCCCGGCCAACUACGUGCCAGCAGCGGCGGUAAUACGUAGGGGGCACGCGUUAUCCGGAUUUACGGGGUGUAAAGGGAGCGUAGGCGGCAGCGCAAGUCUGAAGUGAAAUGCCGGGGCUUAACCCCGGAACUGCUUUGGAAACUGUGCCGCUAGAGUGAAGGAGAGGUAAGUGGAAUUCGUAGUGUAGCGGUGAAAUGCGUAGAUAUUAGGAGGAACACCAGUGGCGAAGGCGGCUUACUGGACUGUAACUGACGUUGAGGCUCGAAAGCGUGGGGAGCAAACAGGAUUAGAUACCCCAGUAGUC
This 440-nucleotide ribosomal RNA is filed under the name uncultured bacterium. Its description in RNAcentral is "partial 16S ribosomal RNA". It matches the Rfam family "Bacterial small subunit ribosomal RNA", at positions 338 to 795 of the family's 1533-position model. The record is from RNAcentral.